Molecule: ribosomal RNA, 603 nt
Filed under: uncultured bacterium
Lineage: Bacteria
Description: bacterial SSU rRNA
Rfam family: Bacterial small subunit ribosomal RNA
Source: RNAcentral
GGUAACGGCCUACCAAGACGAUGAUGCGUAGCCGACCUGAGAGGGUGACCGGCCACACUGGGACUGAGACACGGCCCAGACUCCUACGGGAGGCAGCAGUAGGGAAUUUUCGGCAAUGGGCGCAAGCCUGACCGAGCAACGCCGCGUGAGUGAUUAAGGCCUUCGGGUUGUAAAGCUCUGUUGUAAGGGAAGAACAUUCAGGAUAGGAAAUGAUCUUGAACUGACGGUACCUUACCAGAAAGCCACGGCUAACUACGUGCCAGCAGCCGCGGUAAUACGUAGGUGGCAAGCGUUAUCCGGAAUUAUUGGGCGUAAAGGGUGCGUAGGCGGUUUAUUAAGUCUAUGGUGAAAGUGCGGGGCUCAACCCCGUAUGGCCAUAGAAACUGGUAGACUUGAGUGCAGGAGAGGGCAAUGGAAUUCCAUGUGUAGCGGUAAAAUGCGUAGAUAUAUGGAGGAACACCAGUGGCGAAGGCGGUUGCCUGGCCUGUAACUGACGCUGAAGCACGAAAGCGUGGGGAGCAAAUAGGAUUAGAUACCCUAGUAGUCCACGCCGUAAACGAUGAAUACUAAGUGUUGGAGAAAAUUCAGUGCUGCAGUUAACGC